AGUCUGGCCUGCCCAAUGAUGAUUUGAAUGGCUGCAGUAUCCUGACUGUACAAAGGUAGCGUAAUAAUUUGUCUUAUAAUUGAAGAAUGGAAUGAAUGGUUUGAUAAAGGUGUGGCUGUCUCUUAAUAUAUUUGUUUGAAGUUAAUUUUCAGGUUAAAAAGCUUGGAUGAAAUUAAAGGACGAGAAGACCCUAUUGAGCUUAAAUUGGCAGUGAUGUUAAUAGAAUAUAGGUUUAAGAUUUGUUAAGAAAUUGUAUGGUUUUAGUUGGGGCGACUAAGGAGUAGAUGAAGCUUCCUUUAAGUGGUUAAAAAAGUUGUUUAUUGAUCCAAUUGUUUUGAAUUAAGAUCAAGUUACCAUAGGGAUAACAGCGUUAUCUUUUUUGAGAGUUCUUAUCGAUAGAAGGGAUUGCGACCUCGAUGUUGGAUUAAGGUUUAAUAAAGGUUGUAGAAGCUUUUAUGAUUAGUCUGUUCGA
This 472-nucleotide ribosomal RNA is filed under the name Diplommatina sp. AT. RNAcentral describes it as "partial 16S ribosomal RNA". It matches the Rfam family "Bacterial large subunit ribosomal RNA", at positions 1851 to 2584 of the family's 2925-position model. The record is from RNAcentral. Lineage: Eukaryota; Metazoa; Mollusca; Gastropoda; Architaenioglossa; Diplommatinidae.